UACGGAGGGUGCAAACGUUGUUCGGAUUCACUGGGCGUAAAGGGUGCGCAGGCGGUCGGGUAAGUCUGACGUGAAAUCUUCAAGCUCAACUUGGAAACUGCGUCGGAUACUAUUCGGCUAGAGGAAUGGAGGGGAGACUGGAAUUCUCGGUGUAGCAGUGAAAUGCGUAGAUAUCGAGAGGAACACCAGUGGCGAAGGCGAGUCUCUGGACAUUUCCUGACGCUGAGGCACGAAAGCCAGGGGAGCAAACGGG
Molecule: ribosomal RNA, 253 nt
Filed under: uncultured bacterium
Lineage: Bacteria
Description: partial 16S ribosomal RNA
Rfam family: Bacterial small subunit ribosomal RNA
Source: RNAcentral